UACUAAGGUGAAAAAGCUUGGUGGAAGU
This 28-nucleotide small RNA is filed under the name Bombyx mori (domestic silkworm). RNAcentral describes it as "ovarian small RNA-21237". The record is from RNAcentral. Lineage: Eukaryota; Metazoa; Arthropoda; Insecta; Lepidoptera; Bombycidae.